UACGUAGGUGGCGAGCGUUGUCCGGAUUUACUGGGCGUAAAGGGAGCGUAGGCGGAUUUUUAAGUGAGAUGUGAAAUACUCGGGCUCAACUUGAGUGCUGCAUUUCAAACUGGAAGUCUAGAGUGCAGGAGAGGAGAAUGGAAUUCCUAGUGCAGCGGUGAAAUGCGUAGAGAUUAGGAAGAACACCAGUGGCGAAGGCGAUUCUCUGGACUGUAACUGACGCUGAGGCUCGAAAGCGUGGGGAGCAAACAGG
This 253-nucleotide ribosomal RNA is filed under the name uncultured bacterium. RNAcentral's name for it is "partial 16S ribosomal RNA". It matches the Rfam family "Bacterial small subunit ribosomal RNA", at positions 524 to 776 of the family's 1533-position model. The record is from RNAcentral.